GGAGAAAUGGCUCAGUGGUUAAGAGCACUGACUGUUCUUUCAAAGGUCCUGAGUUCAAUUCCCAGCAACCACA
RNAcentral lists this transfer RNA (73 nucleotides) under Mus musculus (house mouse). Its description in RNAcentral is "tRNA-Asn". The record is from RNAcentral. Lineage: Eukaryota; Metazoa; Chordata; Mammalia; Rodentia; Muridae.